GAUGAAGAACGUAGCGAAAUGCGAUACUUGGUGUGAAUUGCAGAAUCCCGUGAACCAUCGAGUCUUUGAACGCAAGUUGCGCCCGAAGCCAUUAGGCCGAGGGCACGCCUGCCUGGGCGUCACACGUCGUUGCCCCCCCAUCUACUCCUUCGGGAUUGCGGGGGGUGGAUGAUGGCCUCCCGUGCGCCUCGCCGCGCGGUUGGCAUAAAUGCCAAGUCCUCGGCGACGCACGCCACGACAAUCGGUGGUUGCGAAACCUCGGUUGCCCGUCGUGUGCGGUCGUCGCGCAUCGAGGGCUCGAAAAAAUUGCCGGGUUCCGGCUCGGCUUUCAACGCGACCCCAGGUCAGGCGGGGUUACCCGCUGAAUUUAAGCAUAUCAAUAAGCGGAGGA
RNAcentral lists this unclassified non-coding RNA (391 nucleotides) under soil metagenome. RNAcentral's name for it is "partial contains 5.8S ribosomal RNA, internal transcribed spacer 2, and large subunit ribosomal RNA". The stretch from base 1 to 122 matches the Rfam family "5.8S ribosomal RNA", at positions 35 to 154 of the family's 154-position model. The record is from RNAcentral.